CCUGACCCUAAGCCCCUGCAGGCGUGGCUGCAGUGCCACAUGUUUGCCACUAGGGGGCAGAGAAGAGAACAUCUAUGUCUAUGCUCAGUGUUCUGACCUAUGAACAUUUCCUGACAUUUCCUGGAAAAGG
Molecule: small nucleolar RNA, 130 nt
Organism: Meriones unguiculatus (Mongolian gerbil)
Lineage: Eukaryota; Metazoa; Chordata; Mammalia; Rodentia; Muridae
Source: Ensembl